GUCCACGCUGUAAACGAUGUGUGCUAGACGUUGGGGGUCACCCCCGGUGUCGCAGCCAACGCGUUAAGCACACCGCCUGGGGGAGUACGGCCGCAAGGUUAAAACUCAAAGGAAUUGACGGGGCCCGCACAAGCGGUGGAGCAUGUGGUUCAAUUCGACGCAACGCGAAGAACCUUACCAGCUCUUGACAUGGGUAGUAUGGGCCAGGGCGACCUGGUCCUUCGGUUCGGCCGGCUACCACACAGGUGCUGCAUGGCUGUCGU
This 263-nucleotide ribosomal RNA is filed under the name uncultured bacterium. Its description in RNAcentral is "partial 16S ribosomal RNA". It matches the Rfam family "Bacterial small subunit ribosomal RNA", at positions 793 to 1055 of the family's 1533-position model. The record is from RNAcentral.